Molecule: ribosomal RNA, 465 nt
Filed under: Vreelandella stevensii
Lineage: Bacteria; Pseudomonadati; Pseudomonadota; Gammaproteobacteria; Oceanospirillales; Halomonadaceae
Description: partial 16S ribosomal RNA
Rfam family: Bacterial small subunit ribosomal RNA
Source: RNAcentral
CCUAGGGGAGGCAGCAGUGGGGAAUAUUGGACAAUGGGCGAAAGCCUGAUCCAGCCAUGCCGCGUGUGUGAAGAAGGCCUUCGGGUUGUAAAGCACUUUCAGUGGGGAAGAAAGCCUUGGGGCUAAUACCCUCGAGGAAGGACAUCACCCACAGAAGAAGCACCGGCUAACUCCGGGCCAGCAGCCGCGGUAAUACGGAGGGUGCGAGCGUUAAUCGGAAUUACUGGGCGUAAAGCGCGCGUAGGCGGUCUGAUAAGCCGGUUGUGAAAGCCCCGGGCUCAACCUGGGAACGGCAUCCGGAACUGUCAGGCUAGAGUGCAGGAGAGGAAGGUAGAAUUCCCGGUGUAGCGGUGAAAUGCGUAGAGAUCGGGAGGAAUACCAGUGGCGAAGGCGGCCUUCUGGACUGACACUGACGCUGAGGUGCGAAAGCGUGGGUAGCAAACAGGAUUAGAUACCCGAGUAGUC